Molecule: non-coding RNA, 21 nt
Filed under: Caenorhabditis elegans
Lineage: Eukaryota; Metazoa; Nematoda; Chromadorea; Rhabditida; Rhabditidae
Source: RNAcentral
UGGGAAUUCUUUGAUUAUCAA